Molecule: non-coding RNA, 112 nt
Rfam family: Streptomyces RNA 4115
About the family: Identified by deep sequencing of transcriptome at the end of exponential growth phase. Sequencing size consistent with notrthern blot size.
GCGUGGGUCGGCCUGCUGUGUACGGGAAUCAGCGGGCCGGGGGACGCCGUCGCCUUCAAUCCCCGUGGGUGACGGCCCGGUCCGGGAGGCGGACUGCGCCUCCCGGGCUGCU